This is a long non-coding RNA of Monodelphis domestica (gray short-tailed opossum), 2127 nucleotides long. RefSeq lists it as uncharacterized. Lineage: Eukaryota; Metazoa; Chordata; Mammalia; Didelphimorphia; Didelphidae. The record is from RefSeq and is a predicted model, not a curated record.
AGCAGCAGGCAGGGAGGCGCCGGGGAGUGCAGCGUGAAAACGAACUAAGGGAUCUACCAGAACGAAAAUAGGGCGGGCGUGGGGUGGGGGUGAGGGGGACAGCCGUAUCCUCUCAAAUCCCCUGCCUCAUCCCAGACGCCGGCUGAAGCAGGGAAGCACACAGCCGCACCCCAGGGAUAACAUUCCAGGAUCCCCUUCCCCGUGGCUGACGCUUAAAUUCCUGGAAGCAGCCUCUCAAGAUAAGAUCCCUGCAUGUUACUAAAGCGUUAAUAACCAGCCAAGAGUAUUCAAGUAUGACAACUUCCUGUAAUAUUGGCUGCAAAAGGGUAAGUGAAAUAUUACUGCAUUUUGCCCUAUAGACUUGUGAGAUAGAAAUUACUUUAAUUGGGCCCUGAUUAAAGGACAUGUUAUAAAUUUAUUUUUCUUUUACUUAGAAUUUUUACAAUAAGACUUUGAUAGUCUAUAUUUCAUCCAGAAGUAAUCUUUUCUCUUUUAUUUGGAUUUUUAAAUGUUUUUUAUUUUCUCUUGAUUUUCUUCUUCAUAUAUCUCAUAACUCAGCCAUGCAUCCCUAAGUGAUCCCUGUGUUUUUCAACAUCUUCUUCAGGGGGGAAUGUAUUAUUAUUCUAAAAUGCAAAGUUUAAAUUCUUUUGAGAGUAAUUUUAGGUUAAGAAACAUACUACCUCUCCGAAUCCAGAAAGUGAACUCUUUGGAGAAGACACCAUGAAGAUGCCUCCACAGACCACACAAUACACCAGAAGAUCCAGAGUGAACUUUGGGAUGUGGUGAUCUAAACUGUGGGAUUGAAUGCAUUUGUUUUGUAUGUAUACUCUUAUGCCAAAGGGGACUACCCCCUAACUGGCUUUUUGUCACUGCACCUAGCAAUUAUUGGUUUUGUUCUCUUUUCCUCUUAUCCUCAAAUUAUUGUAAUUUCAAAGUUGGUUAUAUUUACAAGAUCCAUUGGAGAGACUAGUCUUCCAUGGAUCUGGGGUGGGGAUGUAUAAUUGAAAAUCUGUUACCCUAAAAAAGAACUACACUUCCUGGCAUCCCACUGAUUUCCUGUCAUAUGUACUUCCUAUAGAUAGGGCAUAUAAGGUGGGGACGUGUAAGAUCUCACCCUCUUUUUGGUUAGAAGCAAAUAUGGUGGCAGUGGUAAAGUAGGGGUUUUGAAAUGUCUAAUCAGCCAUGGGCAUAUGGUCUUUAUUCUGCACCCUCUUUAUCCCUUGAUUUCUAAUAAUCAUUAAUAAAUCCCUUAAAAUAUAAUAUUUUUAUUAUUUGACAUUAAUUUUGAUUUUUACAAACUAGUAACUAGACUUGCUUCAUCAGGCCUGGAGCUGAUUAGCAGACAUGGCCUUUGGCUUCCAGGAUUGACUGAACUGGUUUCAAUGAGAGAAAGUUUUGGGAGAAGUAGCAGAAGGCUUGAGCUGAAUAAUAGAAAGAAAAUAAGCGAUGUUAUUUUUAGAAAACUUUGGCCUUGUGAACAACUCCAGAGAAUGAAUUAGGGGAGGAGAAACAUGGAGAAAUUGGAGAGAAUUUGAGGAAAAGUUGAAGUGGAGCUUCUGGAGCUGAAGGAAAGGGAUUGAGGAGAAUAGAUUUGAAGAGAAAGGCUCAAGAUGAUAAGUAAGAUAAAUAAAUUGAACAAUAAAUAUAAAAAGGCUGCUAAAAAAAAGCUAAAGAAGAGAAAAGGAGUUGGGUAUAGAUUUUAGUUGUCAAGAAGCUUUAAAGGUCUUACCUGGUAGUUUAGGCAGUAAGUUCUAAAUACCUACCAGUUGUUAAAUAAACAAUGCUCUGAGGACCUAACAGCAUAGAAAGCAGGUAUGUCUUAGAGAAGGUAGGAUUUUUAGAUAGACACAACUGAAUGUGGGAUGUUUGUAUCUCUGCCUCAAUCAAGUGACUGCUAGCUAUGUCCCAAGUAUAAGCUAAUCACUGACCCAGAAGAAAAGGUAAAGGGAGUCUGUACAUUCUGGGUUACAAUGAGAUAUUCCCUUAAAACACUUAGAAGGAAGACUUCAGUUAUAUAAGGGUUGUUUUUUUUUUUUAAGUACCUCAAGUAGCCAUGGAAAACUUGACUUCUACUUGGAAAGUGGGAAAAUGUCACAAAGAUGAGGAUAGAAUAAGGGACUGCUGUGU